AAUUGUGAGCAACUGAUGCUAGCAAAUUGUGAGAGCACAAGUAAAUGUACUAGCAAAAUCUUUAGUUCUUAUCCGCUUUCUUCAUUCUCAUUUUUCCUCAUUUCCAAAUUUUCGUUCUUCACAUUUUCAUUGCAUUAAUUUGUCUAACUUAAUCAUUUCUGCUAAUUCCUCCUAAUUCUCAUUCAAUUCCCCUAAUUCUCAAUUCUCCUCUUCGCCGCCAGCCACCGAUCAGCCACCGACCAAUUCUCUCCGCCGCCAACCACCAGCCAGUCUCUCUCUCUCAAAUUCAGGAACAACAAUUUCAGUGAAGAUCGCUAGAAAGUAAGAUCGCUAAAAAUUCGACAACGAUGUUUUCCUCUUCUUUUUUUUUUGAAAUUCUAUCUGUUCGAUUGCAUCAGAAUUGAGCAAUGCAUGCUAUAUUUUAGUUCAUCUAGCAAUGCAUGCUAUUGUUUUAAUAAUUGGACUGAUUUGCAUAUUUAGGGAUAAUGAUGUCAAUUUUACUGUUUCAAUUUCGUGGAGAGCUAAAUCAGGUGUUUAAUUGAAUCAAUUUUGCUUUAUAAUAUAAUUUUGAGUACAUUUCUGUACACCUCUACUAUUCUGUUACUGCUUUGUGUGAUGACCAGCUACACCUUAAAAUUCAAGUUGGUAAUGAGAGUGAGAGUAACUAUACAGACAUUACGGUGAUCAUAUUGUGGUCAUUGUAUGUGAGAGAAUAAGCCUUCCAUGCCAACUUGAAUCAGAUGGUAUUUCUCUUGAUAUGGUCAAUGUAUGUGGAGAAGCGCCUUCCGUUGGUAUUUCUCUUGGUUUGCCACAGAAGGCUUAUUCAAGUUGGAAUGACAAAGUUGACCAGAUAAUAGGUAACUCUUGUGUCUGUCAAAAUUGAUUGCAAUUGCACUUAAGGUUAGGAUUUGUGACUGCCAAAAUACUUUUGUUAUGUGUUUAUAGUUUUGAACUUAUUUGCAAUCUUGUAGAAUUAUUUGAGAAGCAUAAAAGAACUGACCCCUGGUCUUGCAUAAGCUGGAGCUUUGGUCAGGAUUCUAUCUGCAUAGUCUACUACAGAAUAAUUUAGUUGAUAAAGCUUGAAGCAUUUGGUAGGUUGGUGAGAAUUUUGGUGUGUAUUUGUGCAAUCAGUUUCUCAUUGCCUCUUUCCUGCUAUGCGAAACCCAACUGAAACUAUAGAAUGCUAUUAAAUAUUCUGCCUGCAUGGGAUAUUCUGUCUCGGUUUAUCAAAUUCAUUUCCAAUGUUCUUUUUCACUGGUAUUAUACUUGGUAACACAGUUUUUCCACUAGUAUUUGAUAGCUCGAUGUACACAUUAUCAUUUUUCAGUGGAGAGCCUUGAGAUAGUAUAACUAUAGUUAACUCAUCCAUUGCAUUUACUUGGCAGCACAUAUUCCUAGUUGAGUAUGUCUGCCAAAGAAGAUAGCCCACAAUUUGCAGUGGAGCAGUUCUUACAUCUGCACCCUCGGCCCAGUUGCAUCAUCGGCUCCCUCUCCAGUUUCAAAGACAAAUACAGGUUUUCAGAGGAGAGCGGAUUCAAAGAAUAUGCUUUUUUUAGUGUGAGAAAGUCAUCAUUGAUUCAGUUCAAGACGAAGCUGGAUAUGUCCAUGGUUGCUAAUUCCAAAGAGGAUCGAUGUGAUUUUAGGAUUGAAGGCAGCUGGUUUGAGCGAUCAUGCGCCAUAUACGCCAGAGACACCAAUAAUGACAUUGCUCAACUAAGAUCCAGAUUUAAACCCACUUCUUCUCUAAUUUAAAUCUAUCCAUUAAUGAUGUAACUAUGAAGCACUUGGUUUAUGGUCUAUCUUAUUCUUCAUCAGCUUUACUCAAUGGAUUCUACUACUAAUUGGCUAUCUUUGUUGAGGUAAUUCUGCAUCUAAGAGCCUUACCACCAUUAUGUGAUUUGCACAACUAACAUAACCCCUUGACAAAUUGUUUGGGUUUUAUAUUUGCUUUGUAACAAGUAUUUUAUAUGAUGUUGUUGGAAAACUCCAUGUUUCUAGAGAGAGGCCAAAAAUAUUGUGAGUGAUCAAAGGCCUAAACUAUUGAAGUUUAUCGGCUGGAAUUCAAGGUAAUAUGCAUCUUUUUUUUUAUCAUCAUUGAUUGGAUAGUCUUUAGAAUUUACCUUGACUGUCAUUAUAACACACUUCUUUUCUUUUUUAUAUUUAUUUGAUAUAUUGUUCUAACAGUCUUUUUCUUUUAUUAUUUGUGCAAAACAUGCUAACGUCGAGAAAUAUGAUCAAAAUCUCGCUUUAGAUGCAUUUAAAAGAAAAUGCAAAGUUAGGUAUGGAGAUUAUAUCAGCAAGAUGAGAAAGGCACAAAAGAAAAUAGAAGAAGUGGCUAGUAGUAUUUGAACUAAAUUGUGGAAACUAGUAGUAUUUGAACUUAAUUUGUGAUUUGAUUGAAUUGAAGUGUGAAACAAUAUUUUGUAUCUAUGUAAAAUUUGAAUUUUCGUCA
Long non-coding RNA from Salvia splendens (bonfire salvia), 2452 nucleotides. RefSeq lists it as uncharacterized. NCBI's taxonomy places the organism in Eukaryota, Viridiplantae, Streptophyta, Magnoliopsida, Lamiales, Lamiaceae. The transcript has 2 exons. The record is from RefSeq and is a predicted model, not a curated record.